Non-coding RNA from Nemania sp. FL0916, 101 nucleotides. The record is from the annotation of a GenBank genome assembly. NCBI's taxonomy places the organism in Eukaryota, Fungi, Ascomycota, Sordariomycetes, Xylariales, Xylariaceae.
UCUCGAUUGGUCUAGUGGUAAGGAUACCUGCUUGUCAUUAGAUGUUAAGUCAUCAAGUAGUCAGUCCGCAGGUGGCCGGGGUUCGAUUCCCCGAUCGAGAG